Molecule: ribosomal RNA, 104 nt
Filed under: Pseudomonas sp. GD04087
Lineage: Bacteria; Pseudomonadati; Pseudomonadota; Gammaproteobacteria; Pseudomonadales; Pseudomonadaceae
Source: RNAcentral
CUUGACGACCAUAGAGCGUUGGAACCACCUGAUCCCAUCCCGAACUCAGUAGUGAAACGACGCAUCGCCGAUGGUAGUGUGGAGUUUCUCCAUGUGAGAGUAGG